RNAcentral lists this long non-coding RNA (328 nucleotides) under Homo sapiens (human). RNAcentral's name for it is "HSALNT0047009". Lineage: Eukaryota; Metazoa; Chordata; Mammalia; Primates; Hominidae. The record is from RNAcentral.
GCAAGGGGCAGAAGCCUGCUCAAAGUCCAGACACAGUCCGUGAAGAGAGAGCCCCUCUCAAGAAUUAGCCCCAAAUUCGUUGUUGGAGGCGGUCUCCGCUGUGUCAUGCCAUGAGCAAAGAGUGAAGAGAGCUGUGUCCACAGCACGAAGGGGUCUCCUUGGCCAGUGUCCAAGCCCCCUUUCCUGGAUAUCUUCAGCCUUAAAGAACAGUCACAAGGCCACCCAUUGGCUGAAGGUGGGCAGCGGAGCACAUAGUCUUGUCCCUUCCAAAGCAUGGCCAGUUUAGACUGAUUCUUCCUAUCUGGCUUCUAAAGUCUAGCACCCUCCU